This 195-nucleotide unclassified non-coding RNA is filed under the name uncultured Agaricomycetes. RNAcentral describes it as "sequence contains ITS2". Lineage: Eukaryota; Fungi; Basidiomycota; Agaricomycetes. The record is from RNAcentral.
AGCCCUCAAAUCCUAUGUCCGCCUUUUGGUGGCACAUUGAGGUUUGGAUUUGGACUCUGCCGGUUUCGGUCGGCUGGUCUGGAAUGCAUUAGCUGGCUGCUGAGGUUGGCGACCCGGUGUGAUAAGAUCACUCGCUGGGGAGGCACCUUGUACGGUAGCUGCUGCGAACCGUCCCUCGUCGGACAAUUUUCAAGU